UACGGGAGGCAGCAGUGAGGAAUAUUGCGCAAUGGAGGCAACUCUGACGCAGCCAUGCCGCGUGCAGGAAGAAGGCGCUACGCGUUGUAAACUGCUUUUAAACGGGAAGAAACCCCGGGACGUGUCCCGGGUUGACGGUACCGUUGGAAUAAGCACCGGCUAACUUCGUGCCAGCAGCCGCGGUAAUA
Molecule: ribosomal RNA, 188 nt
Filed under: uncultured bacterium
Lineage: Bacteria
Description: partial 16S ribosomal RNA
Rfam family: Bacterial small subunit ribosomal RNA
Source: RNAcentral